UUAACAGUGGCCCAAUAUUCUACGACCCGAGCCCAAUCCCUUUACCUCUCUUCUUUUCCUUUUUCACAACAAAAACAGAAACCCAUUGACAACAUACGAACAAUAAUGACAAUUACAACCAUCCAAAGACCCGACGACCCAUACCCGAUAACCAACAAUCAACUCCCUAUCCCAUCGGCUCCAACGAAGCCGGUGACCCGCCAACCCAUUUCUCAGCCACAACCCGAUAUCAGCCAACCAUCAAUUCCCCCAAUCCAGCGUACAACCGACCAAAUAUCAGCCGUAAUCCAUUCACAACCCGAUACAAUAGUUUCAACCCGACUCUGACCCGAGCAACAUCAAUAACCACUAUUUCCAACAGUUCAUGACCAAAUCGUUUGAAAAUUGUAUGAUUUUCGUAUGAUUUUAUAGCUCACUCCUUAUCCCUUUUUCAAAUUUUGAAUUUUUUCCCCUUUUGAAAUCCCCAAACUAACCCCGAUAGUUCCCUAUAAAAAUCUUACUAUUGAGCAAAAGAGGGGAAGUCUUGAAGGGGGUUUUCUCUAUUCUCUAGAUAGAUCUCUUUAGAGCAAGAAAGAGGUGGAGAAAUUUUUUUUUGAAAAGCAAAAGCAGAAAAAAAAGGGAAAGGAAUUGGUCGCAAGAAAAGGAGAUAAUUUUCUUUGGUAAAAUCUUUAGGAAAGGUAUGUCUUGUCGAUUAUUUCGUAGCGGAAUUGAAUUUCUUAAUGGUGGUGAAGUCCGGAGGAGCUCGAGGUUCCGUUUUGCUGCUCUGAAACAGGUUACGCUCCGCACACUUUAGUUUUUGAUUAUUUCUGCUUCAUCUUAUCAUUCUGUAGACAUAGCGUUGUUCGUGAUAAUAUUGUAUGCUGGGAGUAGCUAUAGAGGCCUCGUCGAUCGUAAAAUUUGAUUGAUCGUUAUGAUGUUUGCUGAAUCAUUGGUUAUAUAUCCCAAAUUGUGGUUUAUUUGAACAUACUUUUUUGUGGGGAUAUGUUGAUUAGUUAAAGCAUUGUUGAUUACCAAGUUGCUGCCUUUCCUUAUUCAUUGCGUUAUCCUGAGUGAAGGACCCUGUUGUGAGAUGUUAUAUAUCAUCGACUAGUCUUAACUUUGUCGGACGAAAGUCAAAAUGUGUAAUUUUUCUUUAAAUUUGUUCAGAACUUUGGGUCAGUUGGCUUAGAUUUCAUGUUUUCUUUUGUCGGGCUUGCUUUCAAAACUGUUAUAACAUUAGAGUUCAUUCAUCCUGAGCAUAUUAUCUUUAUAUUUCAGAGUAUUAUGAUUUGACUAGCUGUUGUAGUGUUCGAAUGUUUUUAGUCUAUUUGCAUCUUUUUAAGUGUAGUUUAGUUUCGUUUUCUUCAUCGCUUGCUUCGUAAACCCGUAAUCGCCAUGUUGUUUGCUUGCUGUGAGUAGCUGUAGAAAGGCUUAUGGGCCAUAGGAUUGGUAUUCUGUAGAAUGCUUUAAAAAAAUAAAAUAUUUUAAGUUUUCGAGUAGUGAAUGCCCUCUUAGCCGUCUUUUUCUUUUUCUCGACGUCAUAAUGCUGUAUUUUCUCAAUAAGGCUUAGUCAAACUGAUAAAUUUGCUUAAGGCCGCAGUUAAUCAAUUGAUAAAGUUGUUUGAGGUUGCAAAUUUUACUUUUUCAUAGAUGGUUUAUUUUGUUAAAAAAUGUUUUCUAUUCAAUUAGUAGUUCACUGUUUACAUACCAUUAGUGCAAGUGACAGGUUCCUGAGUUGUUUUUUUUUUGUGAAAGAUGCUUUCUUUUCAAUCGGUGAUUCACUGUUCUAUAAGUAUUAGGUGAUAAACACGUUGAUAUUUUCUUAACUAAAACUUGAAAAUCAUCUUGUGCAUUCUAUUAAGCACAAAUAACAGAUGUGUGACUUUACCCAUUUCUCAGGUGGUUGACUUGCAAGGCAUGUGCUGCCAGUUCAUUGUUUACUAAUCUGGAUUAUAUUUUAUUCAAUUGAACUUUAUGGCGAAUUAGCAUGAAUCACCUUGGAUUCAAAUCAUGUCUGCUUCAUGUUGAACCCAGUAAAGUGAAAAUUAAAAAUUGAAUCAUGAAACCUUCCUUUCCAAAGGUUAUAUUGAGCGUUAAAUUUUUUUAUGUCUUUGCUUGAAUCCAUGAAACUGUCUUGACUUGAGCAUAUACAUGAGUUUUUCUUGGUAAUUUCCAUUGGCAACUUGGUAUAAUGUAUGAUUCUUGUCGUGAUGCGUGAUCAGUCUUCUUAUCAAUUUCAAAUCACGUAUGUUUUGUUGUUAAUUGUUUCAAAUGUUUAAUAAUUAAUUUGAAUUACCAAUUCUGGAUUAAUAUUGAUUAACUUACUUUUAAUUUAAAAAUUUAUUUAGUUAGUAUAUGUUUCACUCCAAAUUUGUUAAUCAUUUUACAUUUUGCGGGUUGUAAAUUCAGAAUAAGUAUUAAUUCUUUUUUAUCAUUUCUGUGCAUGAACCCACCUUGGAGUCCAAAUGGACUUUUACCCCUUUGCAUUUCAUAAAGGGCCAAUGAGGCCCAUCCCUUGAGUCAAUCUCGAAGAGCUAAGGUCAAAAGUUAGUCGCAUGGCAUACCGAUCCGAGGAGUCGAAAGAAGAAAUGGGUUGAAGUCCAUCUUUGAAGCUGCUAAGCGACUCAAAGUCUUGUUUUUCAUUUUAUUUAUUUAUUUAAUUAUUGUUGUCUUUAUUUAUUAAUUUAUUCAUUUAUUUUAUUAUUCAUUUGGGCCUGGAAGCUAAAGUUGUAAAUUUAAUACAGGUGGAAAAAUUUUUGGGUUCACGAGCCUGAAAAAGUAGUUUAGGAUAGGUAACGGGCCAAAGCCCGACAUUAGAUUAGGACAUGUGCAAGUGGGCCAAAAGCCUAAUAGAUUUGGGCCCAAUGGCCUAAGUCUUUUAUUCCC
RNAcentral lists this long non-coding RNA (2865 nucleotides) under Capsicum annuum. Its description in RNAcentral is "long non-coding RNA (CANN_LNC013615)". Lineage: Eukaryota; Viridiplantae; Streptophyta; Magnoliopsida; Solanales; Solanaceae. The record is from RNAcentral.